RNAcentral lists this ribosomal RNA (429 nucleotides) under Chloroflexota bacterium. RNAcentral's name for it is "Chloroflexi bacterium partial 16S ribosomal RNA". It matches the Rfam family "Bacterial small subunit ribosomal RNA", at positions 355 to 776 of the family's 1533-position model. The record is from RNAcentral. Lineage: Bacteria; Bacillati; Chloroflexota.
UGGGGAAUAUUGCACAAUGGGCGCAAGCCUGAUGCAGCCAUGCCGCGUGUGUGAAGAAGGCCUUCGGGUUGUAAAGCACUUUCAGCGGGGAGGAAGGCGUUAAGGUUAAUAACCUUGGCGAUUGACGUUACCCGCAGAAGAAGCACCGGCUAACUCCGUGCCAGCAGCCGCGGUAAUACGGAGGGUGCAAGCGUUAAUCGGAAUUACUGGGCGUAAAGUGCACGCAGGCGGUCUGUCAAGUCGGAUGUGAAAUCCCCGGGCUCAACCUGGGAACUGCAUUCGAAACUGGCAGGCUAGAGUCUUGUAGAGGGGGGUAGAAUUCCAGGUGUAGCGGGGAAAUGCGUAGAGAUCUGGAGGAAUACCGGUGGCGAAGGCGGCCCCCUGGACAAAGACUGACGCUCAGGGGCGAAAGCGUGGGGAGCAAACAGG